UGAGGAAUAUUGGGCAAUGCCCGAAAGGGUGACCCAGCAACGCCGCGUGGAGGAUGAAGGUCGUAAGAUUGUAAACUCCUGUUAGAGGGGAAGAAUAACUAAGUUUGGAGCUUAGUAUGACUGUACCCUCAGAGAAAGCCCCGGCUAACUACGUGCCAGCAGCCGCGGUAAUACGUAGGGGGCAAGCGUUGUCCGGAUUUACUGGGUGUAAAGGGCGCGCAGGCGGAAUGGAAAGUCAGUGGUGAAAUCCUACAGCUUAACUGUAGAACUGCCUUUGAUACUUUCAUUCUUGAGUUCAGGAGAGAGAGACGGAAUUCCAGGUGUAGUGGUGAAAUACGUAGAUAUCUGGAAGAACACCAGUUGCGAAGGCGGUCUCUUGGUCCGAUACUGACGCUGAGGCGCGAAAGCGUGGGGAGCAAACA
This 422-nucleotide ribosomal RNA is filed under the name uncultured bacterium. RNAcentral describes it as "bacterial SSU rRNA". It matches the Rfam family "Bacterial small subunit ribosomal RNA", at positions 355 to 774 of the family's 1533-position model. The record is from RNAcentral.